GAUAUUCAGUGUUUGUUUGCCUGACAUAUUUGUUUGUUCGUCUUUCUGACGAAUGAAUGGAUAAAAUUCCCAUUCACAUGCCCAAGUGUUUAACAUGCGUGGGAAUUUCACAGCGCUAUCUAGUGUGGGCAGAUGAUGUGUCCCACUGGGACUUCAUCUACCCACACAAAGAUGGCGUCGCCCAGAACAUAGGUCCGGGCAGAAAAUAAAGUUUAGGGGUAUUUGGAGGUGACUAGGGGUCAGUUAGAUGUAGUGGAGUCGGGAGAUGGGGUUAAAAGUGUGACAGCCCGUGCUAUCACUGGGGGUUAAAGACAUAACUCCAUGAUGGCAUACCCUGUCAGACGGUCCUUACAGGGUUAACAACAAAAG
Non-coding RNA from Pelobates cultripes (western spadefoot toad), 369 nucleotides. Lineage: Eukaryota; Metazoa; Chordata; Amphibia; Anura; Pelobatidae. The record is from the annotation of a GenBank genome assembly.